AUUGAACGCUGGCGGAAUGCUUUACACAUGCAAGUCGAACGGCAGCACGGACUUCGGUCUGGUGGCGAGUGGCGAACGGGUGAGUAAUGUAUCGGAACGUGCCCAGUCGUGGGGGAUAACGUAGUGAAAAUUACGCUAAUACCGCAUACGAUCUAUGGAUGAAAGCGGGGGAUCGCAAGACCUCGCGCGACUAGGUGGGCCGAUAUCAGAUUAGGUAGUUGGUGGGGUAAAGGCCCACCAAGCCAACGAUCUGUAGCUGGUCUGAGAGGACGACCAGCCACACUGGAACUGAGACACGGUCCAGACUCCUACGGGAGGCAGCAGUGGGGAAUUUUGGACAAUGGGCGAAAGCCUGAUCCAGCCAUUCCGCGUGCAGGAUGAAGGCCCUCGGGUUGUAAACUGCUUUUGUACAGAACGAAAAGGUUUCUACUAAUACUAGGAGCUCAUGACGGUACUGUAAGAAUAAGCACCGGCUAACUACGUGCCAGCCGCCGCCGUAA
Molecule: ribosomal RNA, 500 nt
Filed under: uncultured bacterium
Lineage: Bacteria
Description: partial 16S ribosomal RNA
Rfam family: Bacterial small subunit ribosomal RNA
Source: RNAcentral